UGGGGAAUAUUGCACAAUGGGCGCAAGCCUGAUGCAGCCAUGCCGCGUGUGUGGAGAAGGCCUUCGGGUUGUAAAGCACUUUCAGCGGGGAGGAAGGCGUUAAGGUUAAUAACCUUGGCAAUUGACGUUACCGACAGAAGAAGCACCGGCUAACUCCGUGCCAGCAGCCGCGGUAAUACGGAGGGUGCAAGCGUUAAUCGGAAUUACUGGGCGUAAAGCGCACGCAGGCGGUUGAUUGAGUCAGAUGUGAAAUCCCCGGGCUUAACCCGGGAAUUGCAUCUGAUACUGGUCAGCUAGAGUCUUGUAGAGGGGGGUAGAAUUCCAUGUGUAGCGGUGAAAUGCGUAGAGAUGUGGAGGAAUACCGGUGGCGAAGGCGGCCCCCUGGACAAAGACUGACGCUCAGGUGCGAAAGCGUGGGGAGCAAACAGG
RNAcentral lists this ribosomal RNA (429 nucleotides) under Chloroflexota bacterium. Its description in RNAcentral is "Chloroflexi bacterium partial 16S ribosomal RNA". It matches the Rfam family "Bacterial small subunit ribosomal RNA", at positions 355 to 776 of the family's 1533-position model. Lineage: Bacteria; Bacillati; Chloroflexota. The record is from RNAcentral.